This is a non-coding RNA of Pseudomonas sp. EGD-AK9, 151 nucleotides long. Lineage: Bacteria; Pseudomonadati; Pseudomonadota; Gammaproteobacteria; Pseudomonadales; Pseudomonadaceae. The record is from Rfam.
CGACUGGCGCCGCAGUCCGUCGUCGUUGUCGACGACAUGCCCAGGUAGCCCUGGUCUUCGAGGCUACGGCGCUACCGCGCUGACCAUCCCGUUCGCUACGCAUCCCUAAAGGCGAACACACCACUGCCUCCCACAUGCGGUGGGCGGAUGC